This 553-nucleotide ribosomal RNA is filed under the name uncultured Ralstonia sp. Its description in RNAcentral is "bacterial SSU rRNA". It matches the Rfam family "Bacterial small subunit ribosomal RNA", at positions 140 to 688 of the family's 1533-position model. Lineage: Bacteria; Pseudomonadati; Pseudomonadota; Betaproteobacteria; Burkholderiales; Burkholderiaceae. The record is from RNAcentral.
GGGAUAACUAGUCGAAAGAUUAGCUAAUACCGCAUACGACCUGAGGGUGAAAGUGGGGGACCGCAAGGCCUCAUGCUAUAGGAGCGGCCGAUGUCUGAUUAGCUAGUUGGUGAGGUAAAGGCUCACCAAGGCGACGAUCAGUAGCUGGUCUGAGAGGACGAUCAGCCACACUGGGACUGAGACACGGCCCAGACUCCUACGGGAGGCAGCAGUGGGGAAUUUUGGACAAUGGGCGAAAGCCUGAUCCAGCAAUGCCGCGUGUGUGAAGAAGGCCUUCGGGUUGUAAAGCACUUUUGUCCGGAAAGAAAUGGCUCUGGUUAAUACCUGGGGUCGAUGACGGUACCGGAAGAAUAAGGACCGGCUAACUACGCGCCAGCAGCCGCGGUAAUACGUAGGGUCCAAGCGUUAAUCGGAAUUACUGGGCGUAAAGCGUGCGCAGGCGGUUGUGCAAGACCGAUGUGAAAUCCCCGAGCUUAACUUGGGAAUUGCAUUGGUGACUGCACGGCUAGAGUGUGUCAGAGGGGGGUAGAAUUCCACGUGUAGCAGUGAAAUG